Molecule: ribosomal RNA, 254 nt
Filed under: uncultured bacterium
Lineage: Bacteria
Description: partial 16S ribosomal RNA
Rfam family: Bacterial small subunit ribosomal RNA
Source: RNAcentral
UACGUAGGGGCCAAGCGUUGUCCGGAUUUAUUGGGCGUAAAGAGCUCGUAGGCGGUUCGGCAAGUCGGAUGUGAAAUCUCCACGCUUAACGUGGAGCGGCCAUUCGAAACUGCCGUGACUUGAGUCCGGUAGGGGGGUGUGGAAUUCCCGGUGUAGUGGUGAAAUGCGUAGAUAUCGGGAGGAACACCAGUGGCGAAGGCGACUACCUGGCCUGUUCUUGACGCUGAGGCGCGAAAGCUAGGGGAGCAAACGGG